GGAGGAGUGGCCGAGUGGACAAAGGCGGUAGACUGUAAAUCUAUUAGAUUUUAUCUUUCGUUGGUUCGAAUCCAACCUUCUCCA
This 84-nucleotide transfer RNA is filed under the name Moneuplotes crassus. RNAcentral describes it as "tRNA-Tyr". It matches the Rfam family "tRNA". From Rfam's summary of the family: Transfer RNA (tRNA) molecules are approximately 80 nucleotides in length. Their secondary structure includes four short double-helical elements and three loops (D, anti-codon, and T loops). Lineage: Eukaryota; Ciliophora; Spirotrichea; Euplotida; Euplotidae. RNAcentral also lists the same sequence under 1 other name. The record is from RNAcentral.